CCUACGGGGGGCAGCAGUAGGGAAUCUUCCACAAUGGGGGAAACCCUGAUGCAGCGACGCCGCGUGAGUGAAGAAGUAUUUCGGUAUGUAAAGCUCUAUCAGCAGGGAAGAAAAAAGACGGUACCGGACUAAGAAGCCCCGGCUAACUACGUGCCAGCAGCCGCGGUAAUACGUAGGGGGCAAGCGUUAUCCGGAUUUACUGGGUGUAAAGGGAGCGUAGACGGCGCGGCAAGUCUGAAGUGAAAGGCAGGGGCUUAACCCCUGAACUGCUUUGGAAACUGUUUAUCUAGAGUGUCGGAGAGGCA
RNAcentral lists this ribosomal RNA (305 nucleotides) under uncultured bacterium. RNAcentral's name for it is "bacterial SSU rRNA". It matches the Rfam family "Bacterial small subunit ribosomal RNA", at positions 338 to 659 of the family's 1533-position model. The record is from RNAcentral.